This 70-nucleotide transfer RNA is filed under the name Himacerus nodipes. RNAcentral's name for it is "tRNA-Val". Lineage: Eukaryota; Metazoa; Arthropoda; Insecta; Hemiptera; Nabidae. The record is from RNAcentral.
CAAGUUAUAUAUUCAAAUGAAUACUAUUAUUUACAUUAAUAUAAGGAUUGUGUGAUUCAAUCUAACUUGA